AGUGAACGCUGGCGGUAGGCCUAACACAUGCAAGUCGAACGGCAGCACAGUAAGAGCUUGCUCUUACGGGUGGCGAGUGGCGGACGGGUGAGGAAUACAUCGGAAUCUACUUUUUCGUGGGGGAUAACGUAGGGAAACUUACGCUAAUACCGCAUACGACCUACGGGUGAAAGAAGGGGAUCUUCGGACCUUGCGCGAUUGAAUGAGCCGAUGUCGGAUUAGCUAGUUGGCGGGGUAAAGGCCCACCAAGGCGACGAUCCGUAGCUGGUCUGAGAGGAUGAUCAGCCACACUGGAACUGAGACACGGUCCAGACUCCUACGGGAGGCAGCAGUGGGGAAUAUUGGACGAUGGGCGCAAGCCUGAUCCAGCCAUACCGCGUGGGUGAAGAAGGCCUUCGGGUUGUAAAGCCCUUUUGUUGGGAAAGAAAAGCAGCAGGUUAAUACCCCGCUGUUCUGACGGUACCCAAAGAAUAAGCACCGGCUAACUUCGUG
RNAcentral lists this ribosomal RNA (492 nucleotides) under uncultured bacterium. RNAcentral's name for it is "partial 16S ribosomal RNA". It matches the Rfam family "Bacterial small subunit ribosomal RNA", at positions 29 to 507 of the family's 1533-position model. The record is from RNAcentral.